Molecule: ribosomal RNA, 419 nt
Filed under: Mogibacterium timidum
Lineage: Bacteria; Bacillati; Bacillota; Clostridia; Peptostreptococcales; Anaerovoracaceae
Description: bacterial SSU rRNA
Rfam family: Bacterial small subunit ribosomal RNA
Source: RNAcentral
GAUGAACGCCGGCGGCGUGCCUAAUACAUGCAAGUCGAGCGAGAAGCUUGGAAAUGACGCUUCGGUUGAUUUUCCAAGCGGACAGCGGCGGACGGGUGAGUAACGCGUAGGCAACCUGCCCCUGACAGAGGGAUAGCCAUCGGAAACGAUGAUUAAAACCUCAUGACACCUGUAGUAGCACAUGCUACAUCGGUCAAAGAUUUAUCGGUCAGGGAUGGGCCUGCGUCUGAUUAACUGGUUGGUGAGGUAACGGCUCACCAAGGUGACGAUCAGUAGCCGACCUGAGAGGGUGAUCGGCCACAUCGGAACUGAGACACGGUCCAAACUUCUACGGAAGGCAGCAGUAGGGAAUCUUGCACAAUGGGCGAAAGCCUGAUGCAGCAAACGCCGCCUGAAGGAUGAAGGCCUUCCGGGUUGUA